Molecule: ribosomal RNA, 253 nt
Filed under: uncultured bacterium
Lineage: Bacteria
Description: partial 16S ribosomal RNA
Rfam family: Bacterial small subunit ribosomal RNA
Source: RNAcentral
UACGUAGGGGGCAAGCGUUUUCCGGAAUCAUUGGGCGUAAAGCGCGUGUAGGCGGUCCGGUAAGUCCGCUGUGAAAGUCGGGGGCUCAACCCUCGGAUGCCGGUGGAUACUGUCGGGCUUGAGUACGGAAGAGGCGAGUGGAGUUCCUGGUGUAGCGGUGAAAUGCGCAGAUAUCAGGAGGAACACCAAUUGCGAAGGCAGCUCGCUGGGACGUUACUGACGCUGAGACGCGAAAGCGUGGGGAGCAAACAGG